AACAAUAAACUCGGUGAAGAAGAAGAAGAAGAAAAAGAAAAAGAGGGGAGCAGAAAGCAUAGAAGAAGAAGGAGGAGCGGUAGUUGUCGGUAUCCUGCAGCCAGGUUCUGUUGGUGGUUCUGAGGUUCUGAUCCGGUCCGGACCUGCUCCUCUUCACAGGGUUAGCUUCACAGCUAGCUGACGCUUACAACAGGUGAACUUCACGCUCAACACGACUGGUUAACACGGUGACGUCAGCAGGCUUGACGUGACGUUACGUGGUAGCUGAGUUAAAGUUUGCUCAGUGACUGAGACGGUGUCGAUUUGUCCAGAUUAUUAGGAACACCUGGCUGAAGGAUGGAUGUGGCCCUCCAGCUCCUGGUCCUGCAGCAGCUGGCAGAGACCUGUGGGCUCAGCACGGUCCAGCAGGGCCUGCAGCAGGUCUGGAAGCUGCUGCUGCUCUGCCUGGUCUGCAGACUCUGCUUCAGGCUGGAGGGCGUGGACACGCUGAAGCAUGUGGUGUCGCUGCUGGCGGGGACGUACGCCCUCUUCCUGUUCUUUGAGCUGCACAUGCUGUGGGUGCUGCUACUGAGCGCGCUCUGUUACCUUGUCCUGCUGCUAGGCCGACACUUCAGCAGCAGGGGCCUCUUCCUCUCCAUGGUCAUCCUCGUCUACCUCCUCACCGGAGAGCUGCAUCUAAUCGACACGGCGACCUGGAACAGAAUCAGAGGCUCUCAGAUGGUGGUGGCCAUGAAGGCCAUCUCUCUGGGGUUUGACCUGGACAGAGGAGCCGUGGCCCACCUGCCCUCCUUGGCUGAGUUCCUGGGGUACGUCCUCUUUGUGGGCACCGUGGUCUUUGGCCCCUGGAUCAGCUUCUCCACGUAUCAGAGCGCCGUUGAAGGCAGGAAGCUGAGCUGGGCGUGGCUGAGGAGCUCCUCCCUCUGCCUCCUGAAGAGCCAGGUCUGCUUGCUGGUCUCCACCUGCAUCGCCCCGUACCUCUUCACACUGUUCAUCCCCAUCCAGGGAAACACCGUCACUCAGAGGUGGCUGCAGGCCUAUGAGAACGCAGCCUCCUUCCACUUCAGUAACUACUUUGUGGGUCACCUUAGUGAAGGAAGCAGCAUGCUGGCUGGAGCCGGCUGCUCCGAGGACAAGGACCACGUCAGGUGGGACCUGAGUGUGGUGAAGCCUCUCAGUGUGGAGUGUCCUCGCUCCAUGGUUCUGGUGGUGACGUCCUGGAACAUCCCCAUGUCCCGAUGGCUGAAGACCUACGUCUUUAGAAAUGCCAUGAAACUGGGGACCUUUCCAGCCAUCCUGGUGACGUACACAGCCAGCGCAUUACUGCACGGUCUGAGCUUUCACCUGGGAGCGGUUCUGCUCUCACUGGGCUUCAUCACAUACGUUGAGCACGUUCUGAGAAAGAAGCUCGCAUCCAUCUUCAGUGCCUGCAUCCUGUCCAGACCCUGCAGCUCAGACUGCAGCCAUCAGCACAAGAAGGUACAGCUCUACACAUCGAGAAACAGAACGAGGUCCAGGCUAAAGCUUCUUAAUGAAGGGGUCGCCGUCUGUCCUUCUGUCCUGGUCUGCAGAAAUACUGGGUAAUGUUGCUGAACCUGGUCUUCAGCUUCCUGGCCAUUUUCCACCUCACCUACCUGGGCUCUAUGUUUGAUCCUGGGGUCGACGAACAGGAAGUAGAAGAGGGUUACGCAGCCGUCCACACCAUCCAGAGGUGGUCUGAACUGAACUGGGCCAGCCACUGGAUCGUGUUUGCCAGCUGGGUCUUCUACCGGCUGAUUCAGUGACGCAGACGGCAGAAACCUGGAGGUGCAGCGUGAGGACGGGGUACCUGAUGGGGAGGGGGGGCGAGCUAGGUGUGAAGAUGGAGAUGACAGACCUGAUGGCAGACGGUCUCUGAUUCAUCUGGAAGGUUUGAGUCUGACUGGACUGAGAACAAAACGUCAGAGCUCCCAGCACACUAACAUCUUGUUCACUUACUCACUUUGGUCAGAACUGGUUCUUUUGGUGUUAAAGUCUGGAAACGUUUCAGUAUGUGAUGAGAGUUUUUACUGUGAUGGUUCAGGUGUUCCCUCUUUUUUACUUUUCCUAUUAAAUGUUUCUAUGUCACCGA
This is an RNA transcript of Micropterus dolomieu (smallmouth bass), 2107 nucleotides long. It is a transcript of the gene named protein-serine O-palmitoleoyltransferase porcupine-like, with no coding region annotated. The transcript has 13 exons. The record is from RefSeq and is a predicted model, not a curated record. Lineage: Eukaryota; Metazoa; Chordata; Actinopteri; Centrarchiformes; Centrarchidae.